This is a long non-coding RNA of Hippopotamus amphibius kiboko, 4195 nucleotides long. RefSeq lists it as uncharacterized. The record is from RefSeq and is a predicted model, not a curated record. The transcript has 8 exons. Lineage: Eukaryota; Metazoa; Chordata; Mammalia; Artiodactyla; Hippopotamidae.
CCUUAUCGGUUAUCUAUUUUACAUAUAAUAGUGUGUACAUGUUAAUCCCAAACUCCUAAUUUAUAGACCCCCCCCUUCCCCUUUGGUAACCAUAAGUUUGUUUUCAAAGUCCAUGUGUCUGUUGCUGUUUUGUAAAUAAGUUCAUCUGUAUGUUUUUUUUAGAUUCCACGUAUAAGUGAUAUGGCAGGAUAUUUGUCUCUGUCUGACUUACUUCACUUAGUAUGAUCCUCUCUAGGUCCUGUCUUGUUGCGGCAAACGACAUUAACUUCUUUUAUUAACUUCUUGUAACUGGAGGGCUCCGUAUUACAGCACCUCCAGAGGCUGGGAUGGGAUCAGCGCCGUGAUAUCCCACUGCGGUUGAUGCUCAUGUGAAAACUUUCAAUGCACAAUGCAGUGGGUUGAAGGAUUGCCCCCCCACAAAAGAUGUGGAAUCUGUGAAGAUGACCGUAUGUGGGAGAAGUGUCUUCGAAGAUGUAAUUAAGGCUCUCAAGACAAGAUCAUGCUGGAUUAGGAUGGGCCCUAAAUCUGAUGACAAGUGUCCUUAGAUGAGAAGAGACAAACGAGAAGGGAAGAAGUUUCACAGAGGAGCAGGCCAAGUGAAGACAGAGGCAGAGACUGGAGCAAUGCGCCCACAAGGCACGGAAAGCCCACAAUUGCCAGCAACUGGCCGAAGCCCGGAGAGAGGCAUGGAAUGAAUUCUCCAGAAGGAACCACCCUGCUGACAUCUUGAUUUCAAACUUUUGGCCUCCAGAACUGUGAGACGAUACAUUUCUGCUGUUUUAAGCCACCAGGUUUGUGGCAAUUUGUUCCAGGAGCCCUAGAAGACCCAUGCAGAUGACGCUGUAGGUCUCAAAAUCAGAGGAGACUAGAAAAACCUUGCUUUGGUUCUUAAGCCUUAAAUAUGGUCUUGCCUCUGAAGGCAAGAAAAUGACAUGGUAUUUUUCCCCGCUUCCAAAGAGUUGAAACUCCUUGGCCUAAGUCUGCAUACCAUCUAGGGAGGGGAAAUUGACUCAUAGAACAGAGAUGUGAGCCUCAAGGUCAUAUGAAGAAGGGGCAGAGUAAGACGGCUCACCUAAGGGACCAGGGGGUGGCGAAUACAGCACGAAGGUCACAGGACCAAGGAUCUGAAGACCCCACUUCGAAUCCAGGUUCUGCCUCUCACUGGCCAGAUGACCUUAGGGACCCAGCUGACACUUCUUAUUUCGGGUCCUGCCUCCCCAGCAGCAGUCUGCAACUUGCCGGCAUCCGGACAGGAUGGCAGCCGGCAGCCGCUGAGCAGAGGAGAGAGCAGGUGCUAUCAUGGCCAAAGUGACCACAUCAAGGCAGUCGGGGAAGAAGCAGCCAAAGUGACAUGAGAGCCUCGGGGAGGCUCUUAGCCCCUGCAGGCCCCUGGACACCCUCAUCUCUCAGGGAGUAGAAUGGGGAAGCCAGCUGCUGAAGAGCUGGUAUGGCGAGAGCUGUCUCCACGCUGGACACCGAGGGACCAGCAUUUCCCAGGUUUUUCUCAGGAAGAAUAUCCAAUGCAAUUGAGGCCGGCUUCCCCCUUUCCCCCAAGUCAGACCCACUGGUCCAGGGGCUGCAGGAGGUGGGGAGCAGGAAGAAACUCUCCCCCUCUCUGCCCACGGGUCAGAUCUAGGAGGUGACAGGGGCCUGGGCUAAUCUUUAAAUGAAUUUUCUCUUUCCAUCCCCCAGAGCACUUAGAGCAGGCACAUCACCGCCCUGUAACUGUUGCAGGGAGACAGUGAGGCUAGAACUGGUCCCUAAGUUAGGUGGGGGGUGUGCCUGGAGGGGCAGGAGGGGGUGUGCGUCUCGGUCCCAGGCUCCCUGGCGGCUCGCAAUGCACCAGUGCUGACUCAGGGCUUCCCGCGCCCUCUCCUCUCCCACCCCAUCACCUGCCCCGGCCUUGGCCCGCCGAGCCCGUGCUGCUGGUUCUCCGGGUCUCCUUGCGCAGGGGCGGUUGGAACCCAAGCUGCUGCAGGCCCUCCCCCGCCCUCCCCGCCGCCCGGGCCAAGUCAGCAGUGCUGGCCGCCGCUGGGCUGCAGCAGCGGGCGGUGCAGAGGCCCUGCACCACUGCUCCGGGCUGGCGGGCGGCGCGCCUCUGCCGCGCUCGCGUCCCGACGGCCACCUCCCGGCGGCUGCGCGCAGCCAGCGCCGAGACAGGACCCGGUCCCUGAUUGGUGCAGUGAGUGAGUCUCGGGCUUUAUUUAUACAACCUUUUCUGCACGACUCUACUUCAUCGGAGUUGAGGGCUGGGGCCGGAGGCAGCCUUCCGGGCUGAGGAUGACAAACGGGGCUCUUGCACCGACUGGUUUCACGCAUCCUUGGAUGGGCCAUUUUCACAGGCGCUUCUGUUCCAAGCAUCCACUAAGCGUGGGGCUUGAUUUGCGGGAACCUCCAUAGAAGAACAAGACGUGUGGCAUCUCGGAAGGGCUGGGAGGGUGAAGCCCAGGGAUGCUGUUGUGUCUGGGCCCUGCCUUUGGACCUCCUGCUCUGAAUUGUGGACACCGGUCUGGAAAGCAAGACUGUCUUUCCAGUUGGGGGAACUGACACCAGGAGUCUUCCUGCUCAGCCCGGGACAGACACAGCACUGCAGCUGCCAGUCUUCCUGCCAAGGACGUGGGGAUAGGCAGCUCUCCGGGGGACCACCUGCACCCUCCAAGCAGAGCCAACUGGCCAGCUGAGUCCCUGGGACUCCUCCAGGGACUCAGGUAUAAGGCAAAGCCCUGAGCUCAGAGACAAGGAUGAUGAGGCCUAGAGGUUAUCUGACUUGCCCAAGGAGACAGGAAGCUCAGGGAAGGGCUGCGAAUCCCUGGAACGUGUUUCAACUGGCAUGUGGGACAAGGAUAAAGUCAUCAGCGCUGGACCCAUUGAGCGCCCCGACUCCAGAGAAAUAGGACAAGUGGUUCCACUUGUUUAACACUGAUUUGGGAUUGUGAAAGAGGACCAACCCGAAUACCCAUGAACCCAAAAUGCUGCUUACUGAUGACCUUCAGCUAUUCGGAGGUGAAUUACUGCCAGUAUCUAGAAGACAGCCCAUUUUCCUGGGUCAUGAGAUGACCUCCCCUCUAUGAUCCCUGGAGGUCAAACGUGGCUGCUCUCCCAAGGCAUUCCUACCAGGCAAGUGGGAGAGACACAGCUCCAGCACGGAAGUUCUAAAGACAGGGGUGAGGCUAAUCUGUGGCAAACGACAAUGGAAGGGGCCACGGCUGCAAAUAUACAACGUGGCAGUAUCCGCCCAAGGGAGAGAGGACGGCUGUUGGUGUGGCCGGCCAGAGAAGGGGCUCCGCUGAGGACAGUGGCCGGAUGCAUCAGACACGAGCAUCAUCCGUGUGGCCGUCGUGUUGGAGAUGUUUAUAUAGUCUAGGAUCUGGGAGCCUUUCUGGCUUUUGCGUUGACCUCGGCUAUCCUUUAGGGUAGACUUACCUUAGGAGGGCAGCUCAUUCCACCAAUGACUCUUUAACGUGUGUCUCGUCUCACGGUGGCCCCACCUGUCCUUGGCAUUUCUACAGCAUUCCCCGCUCAACAAUCUCAAAGCCCAGGUGUGGAGUUUUGUCCAACUCAACCCCCAAGGACACCCCUCUCUUCUAUAGAACAAUCCACCUUUUCUAUUGAUGUGGGUUGACUUUUUCUUUCUUUCUUCCUUUUUUCUAAUUAAUCAAUAGAAUAAUGUAGUUAUCCACAUCAGAAAUAAAGUGCUUAGGGGAGUUUCCUGCCAGUCCAAUGGUUAAGACUAUGUGCUUCCACUGCAGAGGGCCCAGGUUCGAUCCCUGUUUGGGGAACUAAGAUCCCACAAGCCAAGUGGCGCAGCCAAAAAAAAAAAAAAAGUACUUAUGUUAAUAUUUCCUGAAUUAGUGGAGAAUGAUCACUUUCCCCCUCCAUGGCCCUUUGCCUGUAAGAAAUGAGCAUUGUAAGCACGGGCCUACGGACCACCUUACUGCUAUUUCCUCUCAUGUCUUCCUGGGGGCCCAGGCUGGAAACUGGCUUAAUUGUUUCAGCCUCUGGUCCUCACUGCCCAUUGAUAAUGAUGGCGGUGGUGACCAAAGAUGGUGGAUUUGGGCCCCCAGUGUCCCUGCCUGGUUCCUUUGGCCUCAGGGAGGGGGAGAGGCUUCUUGGUAUGUUCCAGGACCAGCAAGGAAGCUAGUGUGGAACAGAGGCAGCAAGAGAGAUGGUAGAAAGAAGUAAGGGCAAAAGUCCG